Molecule: ribosomal RNA, 1456 nt
Filed under: Shigella boydii
Lineage: Bacteria; Pseudomonadati; Pseudomonadota; Gammaproteobacteria; Enterobacterales; Enterobacteriaceae
Description: partial 23S ribosomal RNA
Rfam family: Bacterial large subunit ribosomal RNA
Source: RNAcentral
UUAAGCGUGUAGGCUGGUUUUCCAGGCAAAUCCGGAAAACUAAGGCUGAGGCGUGAUGACGAGGCACUACGGUGCUGAAGCAACAAAUGCCCUGCUUCCAGGAAAAGCCUCUAAGCAUCAGGUAACAUCAAAUCGUACCCCAAACCGACACAGGUGGUCAGGUAGAGAAUACCAAGGCGCUUGAGAGAACUCGGGUGAAGGAACUAGGCAAAAUGGUGCCGUAACUUCGGGAGAAGGCACGCUGAUAUGUAGGUGAAGUCCCUCGCGGAUGGAGCUGAAAUCAGUCGAAGAUACCAGCUGGCUGCAACUGUUUAUUAAAAACACAGCACUGUGCAAACACGAAAGUGGACGUAUACGGUGUGACGCCUGCCCGGUGCCGGAAGGUUAAUUGAUGGGGUCAGCGCAAGCGAAGCUCUUGAUCGAAGCCCCGGUAAACGGCGGCCGUAACUAUAACGGUCCUAAGGUAGCGAAAUUCCUUGUCGGGUAAGUUCCGACCUGCACGAAUGGCGUAAUGAUGGCCAGGCUGUCUCCACCCGAGACUCAGUGAAAUUGAACUCGCUGUGAAGAUGCAGUGUACCCGCGGCAAGACGGAAAGACCCCGUGAACCUUUACUAUAGCUUGACACUGAACAUUGAGCCUUGAUGUGUAGGAUAGGUGGGAGGCUUUGAAGUGUGGACGCCAGUCUGCAUGGAGCCGACCUUGAAAUACCACCCUUUAAUGUUUGAUGUUCUAACGUUGACCCGUAAUCCGGGUUGCGGACAGUGUCUGGUGGGUAGUUUGACUGGGGCGGUCUCCUCCUAAAGAGUAACGGAGGAGCACGAAGGUUGGCUAAUCCUGGUCGGACAUCAGGAGGUUAGUGCAAUGGCAUAAGCCAGCUUGACUGCGAGCGUGACGGCGCGAGCAGGUGCGAAAGCAGGUCAUAGUGAUCCGGUGGUUCUGAAUGGAAGGGCCAUCGCUCAACGGAUAAAAGGUACUCCGGGGAUAACAGGCUGAUACCGCCCAAGAGUUCAUAUCGACGGCGGUGUUUGGCACCUCGAUGUCGGCUCAUCACAUCCUGGGGCUGAAGUAGGUCCCAAGGGUAUGGCUGUUCGCCAUUUAAAGUGGUACGCGAGCUGGGUUUAGAACGUCGUGAGACAGUUCGGUCCCUAUCUGCCGUGGGCGCUGGAGAACUGAGGGGGGCUGCUCCUAGUACGAGAGGACCGGAGUGGACGCAUCACUGGUGUUCGGGUUGUCAUGCCAAUGGCACUGCCCGGUAGCUAAAUGCGGAAGAGAUAAGUGCUGAAAGCAUCUAAGCACGAAACUUGCCCCGAGAUGAGUUCUCCCUGACUCCUUGAGAGUCCUGAAGGAACGUUGAAGACGACGACGUUGAUAGGCCGGGUGUGUAAGCGCAGCGAUGCGUUGAGCUAACCGGUACUAAUGAACCGUGAGGCUUAACCUUACAACGCCGAAGGUGUUU